RNAcentral lists this long non-coding RNA (495 nucleotides) under Gossypium barbadense (sea-island cotton). RNAcentral's name for it is "long non-coding RNA (GBAR_LNC022357)". The record is from RNAcentral. Lineage: Eukaryota; Viridiplantae; Streptophyta; Magnoliopsida; Malvales; Malvaceae.
UAUGGAGUGUCAAGUACAUGCUAAUAUACGUUCCAUAACGAGGAAGGAUGCAUGACAAUAAUGCUAGUGCAUGGACGGUUGGUAACAUAGGAGAUGAAUUCAUCAAAUGCAAACUGCCCAUUCAGGUACUCAAGGCACAUUAAAGAUUCAAAUUAAGAAAUGCAUGAGCCAUGUAUAUAACAUUUGGUCAAAGGGGAUGAAGAGAUAAUUAAAGGCUGAACAUGCAAGGAACUUGGAGAUUUCUUCAUGGUGAAGCAUUCAUGCACGUCUAAGGGGGUGUUUAACAUUAAAUUUGGCCAUGUAUGAACCUCUCUAAGAACAUGAACUUUUUUUAAAUGCUUAGUGUGAACAUUUUCAAUAUUUUGUGUGAAUGUCUUAAGUGUUAUUGUGAACCCAUAUGUACCAAAUGUGAGUAGUCAAUUUAGGAGUUUAUAUAAAGCUUUGUAAUUGAACAUUUCAAGUUAGACCAGUUUUAAUAAAAAAAAAAUUUGUUUG